Molecule: RNA transcript, 2147 nt
Organism: Phyllostomus discolor (pale spear-nosed bat)
Lineage: Eukaryota; Metazoa; Chordata; Mammalia; Chiroptera; Phyllostomidae
Gene: GTPBP8
Gene name: GTP binding protein 8 (putative)
Exons: 7
Source: RefSeq, a predicted model, not a curated record
AAGGAGACUACAAUUCCCAGUAGGCUUAGAGGGAGCGGGACCGCGCACGCGCGGCCCAGAGGCUGGGAUAAAGGUCUCGAUGCAGCUUCUGAGAGAGAAAAAUGGCAGCGCCCAUGUUGCUACCUGGCCUGGGCAGGCUCUUUGAGAUGCCAGCGGCGCUGGUGCACGUGAGCCGAGCUUACAGCAAGCCCCAGGCCUUCACGGAGGUUCUACAACUGCCAAAACGGCAACUGACGAAGUUUGUGUUCCCACUGCAGGAACUUCAGCGGCACCUCCUUUCCGACUCCACAUCCGACCUUCACCUGAAGACGUUCGACCCGAGCCUGGAGGACCUCGCGAGGGCGGAGGGCUUCUUUACGGCCACUGCCGGGAACCGCAUCGAGUACCUCAGUUCCGCAGUGCGUCUGGACCACGCCCCGGACCUUCCCCGCCCUGAGGUGUGUUUUAUAGGCAGAAGCAAUGUUGGAAAAUCCUCUCUAAUAAAGGCUUUAUUUUCACUGGCUCCAGAGGUUGAAGUCAGAGUCUCCAAAAAACCGGGUCACACAAAGAAAAUGAAUUUUUUUAAAGUUGGAAGAUAUUUCACAUUGGUGGACAUGCCAGGUUAUGGCUAUAGAGCACCUGAAGAUUUUGUUGAUAUGGUAGAGACCUAUCUAAAAGAACGAAAGAAUUUGAUGAGAACAUUUUUGUUAGUGGAUAGCGUUGUCGGAAUUCAAAAAGCAGACAGUAUUGCCAUAGAAAUGUGUGAAGAGCUUGCGUUACCUUAUGUGAUGGUAUUAACAAAAAUUGACAAAUCUUCCACAGGACAUCUUCUAAAACAAGUGCUUCAGAUCCAGAAAUUUGUUAACACUAAAACACAAGGAUGUUUUCCUCAGUUGUUUCCUGUAAGAUUUUGCUCUACCUUUGUUCUCUUUCCUCCUUAGCCUAGCUCAGCCCUACACCACAGCAGAAGUGAAAACUUUGUACUUUUUAGAAUCAGCUAAAUAAAAACCACAAUAAAGUGCUGUGACCUAUUCUGGAAUCCAUCUGUUGAGAUGCUUUAUAGCAAAUAUAACAGGACAUCUUAAGACUUAAUGGUGUCUAGUUGAGCUGAAGACUCAAAAUUUUUUAUGCCAGCUGGAGCUAAACACCUAGAAUUUCAGCAUUGUUUUAAAUGUUGCAUGUCUAUAAUCUGCAGGGGAUCAGUUCACCUCUUACCAAAGCAGGAAUGAAUUCUGUGCCUGGCAGGGGGGUGGUUUAUAAAUGAUUGAAUUAUGCCUUCAUUAGAACAGAUGCUAGAAGUUUUUCUUAUUUUAACAAACUGACACACAAGAGCAGCAUAUAAAAGUCCAUAAGGUGAAAACCUGUUUACUACUGUGUAGAGAAGGGUUUCCAUGUUACUUAUUGGGCUCUGUCUUUUAAAGAAAAUGUCUAUUAUGUAUAUUUUUAAAUAUUAAAAUGGAAUAGGUCUCAAAAAGGAGUUAGCUUUCCGUUAAUGACUGAUAGGUAAGUCGAAGAUAAAUGCUCCUAUUUGUAUGCCUAUAAUUUAUCUUUUUUCCUGAAUCCUUAUUUGAAUUCUUUAAAUUAUUCUUGAUAAAAUUUUAGUCAGUGCAUGCUGGAAAUACCAGUAAAUUCAGUCUGGGGUCAGUCACCUUCAGCUCCACAAGGGAUUCAGAAUCAGAAGACCAGAAUUGAAGUUCCAGUUCUAUUAUUUUUUUUUAUAUGCUAGACCUUGAUUUCUUGAGCUCCAUUUGUAACUCUAACCUCACAAGCUAUGAAGAUGAAAGCAGUGUAUGUGAAAAGAAGAUCUUCAUGUUCUGCAUAUUCAUAAAGGGAAACCAAUCCAAGAAUACAGCUAAUUUUCACAGGUAGAUUUAUCACAGAAAAUAUCAUGGAGGAAGCAACAUUUUCUCUAGUGAAAGACAAAAAAACAAAAAAGAAUAGUUCUGAGAAAACUGAUUUGCAAAGCAUGAGAAUAAAGUUGAUGGGACUAUUUAGAAUCAGUACAUUAAGAUUCACAAUGGAAAGAUAAAGCCUUAACUUUGAACUUAAGUUAAUGGAAAAGAUUUUUAGAAAGAUGCUACUGCCUUUUCAUGUAAGUGGCUUAGUUUUUCAAAGUGAGGCUGAAUAUUAUAAGGGUGUAGCAAUAGCUCUGAAUAAAAGAAAUUAAG